This 257-nucleotide unclassified non-coding RNA is filed under the name Hevea brasiliensis (rubber tree). Lineage: Eukaryota; Viridiplantae; Streptophyta; Magnoliopsida; Malpighiales; Euphorbiaceae. The record is from RNAcentral.
AGCUUCCCUAAGUUGCUCAAAAGCAUUUUGAGCCACUUCAUCCUUUUAAAGAGCAUCUUUUUUAAGCAAGCAGUCAAUGGUUUGCCGAUGAUACCAUAGUGCAACAUAGGCUUUCUAUAGUAACCAGUUAACCUUAAAAAGCUUCUUAAUUCCUUUAUUGAUUUUGGGGCUAGACAGGAAACCAUUGCUUGGACUUUAGCAGUGUUAGUAGCAACACCCUUUGUUGAAAUUAUGUGUCCUAAAUAGUCAAUCUCAGG